RNAcentral lists this ribosomal RNA (250 nucleotides) under uncultured prokaryote. RNAcentral's name for it is "partial 16S ribosomal RNA". It matches the Rfam family "Bacterial small subunit ribosomal RNA", at positions 524 to 773 of the family's 1533-position model. The record is from RNAcentral.
UACGGAGGAUGCGAGCGUUAUCCGGAUUUAUUGGGUUUAAAGGGUGCGUAGGCUGGCGCUCAAGUCAGGGGUGAAAUGCCGUGGCUCAACCACGGAGCUGCCUUUGAUACUGUGCGUCUUGAAUUCGGAUGCCGUGGGAGGAAUGAGUAGUGUAGCGGUGAAAUGCAUAGAUAUUACUCAGAACACCGAUUGCGAAGGCAUCUCACGAAUCCGAGAUUGACGCUGAGGCACGAAAGCGUGGGGAUCAAAC